Molecule: non-coding RNA, 276 nt
Organism: Pelobates cultripes (western spadefoot toad)
Lineage: Eukaryota; Metazoa; Chordata; Amphibia; Anura; Pelobatidae
Source: the annotation of a GenBank genome assembly
CAGAAUUUAAUGGAUACACCUGUCUUGUCUCCAUUUUAAGAUAGUCCCUCUGACAUGUACAGACCAAACAUGAAAUUAGGAAUUUGUGUGGCUAUAGUAAAAAAACCUGUUUAUUUUAAGUGAAGUGCUAUGGAGUGUAUGAAUGUGUUUUUAUUUAUUUGCUUAUUUUGGCUCAGGACCCUGUUUCAAGUAAGGUAUAAUACAUUAACCCAUCAUCUCACCUGUAUGGAAGUAGAAGGACUAAAUUAACGACUGUGUCCUUUUACAGAAAAUUAC